CAAUCUAAGAAUACAUCAGAAUGGAAGUAACUCAGCAAGGGAGCCUCUGACACCAGGUGCUUUGACAGUACCCGCAGUUCUUCCUUCUUCCUCUCCAGCUGGUUAGAGAGCUCCAUCUCUGCCAGUCGCUGCUGAUUGAGAAGAAUCAAAUCCCUGGUCACGUCAUGAGGUGCAAUGUCUGCAAUAUGCAUCUGUCGCUCCUCCAGCUCAUGUAAAGUGCGGAGUAAAGGUGAGCAGAGAUAGAGCAUGCACUGCAGAGACUCCAUCCAGAUCAUCUGGCCUCUCAGCUCUAGCAUUGGCCGCUGUUUCCAUGACUCAGGCAUCAUUUCUCUCUUGGUCUGGAAAACAAAUUGGCUGUUGAUAAAUUUCUGAAUGCUAGAG
This 381-nucleotide long non-coding RNA is filed under the name Gallus gallus (chicken). Lineage: Eukaryota; Metazoa; Chordata; Aves; Galliformes; Phasianidae. The record is from RNAcentral.